Molecule: long non-coding RNA, 1017 nt
Filed under: Ficedula albicollis (Collared flycatcher)
Lineage: Eukaryota; Metazoa; Chordata; Aves; Passeriformes; Muscicapidae
Description: lncRNA (ENSFALG00000026807.1)
Source: RNAcentral
AUGAGAGAAAAGAUGGGGGAAAUUAUUCUGAUAAUUGUGGGGAAGAAUUGUUGUCAGCAGCAAAAGCGUUGCCAAGGCACUUCCAUGAAACCAGGAAGUUUUCCUGUUUUGCUGGGGUGGAAUUGCACCCACAGUCCCUUCUCCACCCCGGCUGCACCCCAGAAGUGUGAGCAGGAGUCGAGCCCUCAGUGCCACUGCUCUGCCCGCAGGACUCUGCACAGAGAGCAAGCCAAGGACAGGGGGUCUCUGCUUUCUCAGCUCAGCGCAGCUCUGGCCCUGAUGCUGGGGAGGGGAUGCCCACGGACAGUGCCACGCACUGUGGGAAGUGCUGAUUUAUCCUCCCGGGCGCACGUCACUGCUCGCGUCUGCAUUCCAACUCCAGUGAAAAAUGCGCCACCGUCAAACUCCCGUACGUCACAGUCAAACACAAACAGUGGUUUCCAAAUAGCUGCUUACCAGGCUGCACGUUCAGUUGUGCAAUCAGCCCCUGGCUCUCUCUCCCUGCAGGUGAAGGGAGCAGGGGCUGCACCCACCGGGGCGCUUGCACUGCAGUGGCAGACGGAGGGGCAGUCUGACGUGGCAGCAGGCAGCAGUUACCUGCGCAAGGAACACGCUGAAGCCCUCUCAAACCCCAACAGGUGCCGCCUUCCUGCAGGAAGGCACACAGGAGAUGGAUGGGACAGCUGCCGAGCAAACCUGCACCUCAAAGCAGACAGAGGGGAGCAGCUGCUGGCAGAGCUCUGCCGAGGGACCCACGGCCUCCGGGGCAGGGCUGAGGUGGCCCAGCCCUGCCACCAGGGGCCAUCCACCGGCAGGACCUGCUCCGGGAGGAGGCAGGGGCCAAGUGACCAGCAGGGACCCCUGGGGGCUGGCAGGGGGGCUGUGGGGAGCAGGAGGGAUGGAGAGGAGCCUCUGGCAGCCCCUGAGCUGCGGUGUCAGGGAGUCUGGAGAGCACUCCUCAGAUCCAGAGCCUUCCAACCUCUUCUGAAGGAUUUCCUCUCCAGACUCUGGGUUUAG